RNAcentral lists this transfer RNA (99 nucleotides) under Truncatella angustata. It matches the Rfam family "tRNA". Rfam says of the family: Transfer RNA (tRNA) molecules are approximately 80 nucleotides in length. Lineage: Eukaryota; Fungi; Ascomycota; Sordariomycetes; Amphisphaeriales; Sporocadaceae. The record is from Rfam by way of RNAcentral.
CCCUUGAUAGCUCAGUUGGCAGAGCGAUGGACUGUAAUUGUUACUCCUGAAUCAUUUCAGAUUAUCCACAGGUCGCCGGUUCAAAUCCGGCUCGAGGGA